UUUCCGUAGGUGAACCUGCGGAAGGAUCAUUAUUGUAUUACAAAGGUCCGAGGACUGUCGCUAACCCACCACUACGUGCACGCUCGAGCGCCCUCACAACCCUCCCUCCCACCCCUAUGUGCCCCCCCGCGCGCGUCCACCUUUGGCUUUUUCGAAGAUGGGCUUACUUUUUACUAUAAUCUUUUUAUGCAAUGCAGUAUACAUUUUUUGUUUUUGUGAUGACGCCAUCAAUAAACCCUUCAACAACGGAUAUCUUGGCUCUCACCUCGAUGAAGAACC
Molecule: unclassified non-coding RNA, 279 nt
Filed under: plant metagenome
Description: partial contains small subunit ribosomal RNA, internal transcribed spacer 1, and 5.8S ribosomal RNA
Source: RNAcentral